This 497-nucleotide ribosomal RNA is filed under the name uncultured bacterium. RNAcentral describes it as "partial 16S ribosomal RNA". It matches the Rfam family "Bacterial small subunit ribosomal RNA", at positions 28 to 507 of the family's 1533-position model. The record is from RNAcentral.
GAUGAACGCUGGCGGCGUGCCUAAUACAUGCAAGUCGAGCGAACAGACGAGGAGCUUGCUCCUUCGACGUUAGCGGCGGACGGGUGAGUAACACGUAUGUAACCUACCUAUAAGACUGGGAUAACUUCGGGAAACCGGAUCUAAUACCGGAUAAGAUUUCGAACCGCGUGGGUCGAUAGUGAAAGAUGGCUGUGCUAUCACUUAUAGAUGGACCUGCGCCGGAUUAGCUAGUUGGUAAGGUAACGGCUUACCAAGGGAACGAUACGUAGCCGACCUGAGAGGGUGAUCGCCCACCCUGGAACUGAGCCACGGUCCAGACUCCUACGGGAGGCAGCAGUCGGCAAUCUUCCGCAAUGGGCGAAAGCCUGACGGAGCAACGCCGCGUGAGUGAUGAAGGUCUUCGGAUCGUAAAACUCUGUUAUUAGGGAAGAACAAACGUGUAAGUAACUGUGCACGUCUUGACGGUACCUAAUCAGAAAGCCCCGGCUAACUACGUG